AAAAAGAAAACAUUAAAAAGAAAAAAACAAAAAAGAAGUGGGUAAAAACAUCGAGAUAACUUUUUAAGGGAAAUUUGGGUGUUUUAGAGCCCUAAACCAUUGGAAUUGUUCGUUAAUAGCGAAAUUUUUUGAAUGAAAUUUAUUAUUUGAGAUAAAAUGAAGAGAGAUCAGUCUUAGAAAUCGUUAAUUAAUUGAGUGGAAUAAAGUUGUUCAUAG
Molecule: long non-coding RNA, 216 nt
Filed under: Gossypium barbadense (sea-island cotton)
Lineage: Eukaryota; Viridiplantae; Streptophyta; Magnoliopsida; Malvales; Malvaceae
Description: long non-coding RNA (GBAR_LNC011329)
Source: RNAcentral